UACUGGGCGUAAAGGGUGCGUAGGCGGUUUGUUAAGUCUGUUGUGAAAUCCCCGGGCUCAACCUGGGAAUGGCAAUGGAUACUGGCAAGCUAGAGUGUGUCAGAGGAUGGUGGAAUUUCCGGUGUAGCGGUGAAAUGCGUAGAGAUGUGGAGGAACACCAGUGGCGAAGGCGGCUUUCUGGUCUGUAACUGACGCUGAGGCGCGAAACCGUCGGGAGCAAACAGG
Molecule: ribosomal RNA, 225 nt
Filed under: uncultured bacterium
Lineage: Bacteria
Description: partial 16S ribosomal RNA
Rfam family: Bacterial small subunit ribosomal RNA
Source: RNAcentral